UGCCACAGGGAAGUGCUUGAGAAUUGGCUUCGAAAGCCCAGGAGCUGGGGCGGUGGGGCGGUAGGGCAGGCCGUCCUCUGUGAACAAUUAGCCUCAGCAUCACCCAGUGAUUCUUCUCUCUCUCUUUCUUUCGGCUGCGCCCGUGGCAUAUGGAAGUUCCCAGGGCAAAUCACGGCCCCGCCACAGCAGCGACCCAACCCAAGGUGCUGUGCUACAGGGAUAACCCCAGUUCCUUAGUCUACUGCACCACGGGGACGUGUUCAAGCCUCACGCUGGACCUGGUGAAUCAGAAUCUGGGGAGACAGGCUCCCAGCGUGGUCCUGAAAAAGUCCGUCUGGACCGCUUACCACUGUGAAUCUCUGCCUGGUGGUGUCAGCGUAUUGGACUUGACUUCCCGGUCAAGAAUGAUCUCAGUUUCUGGAAAGUCUGAUGUCUCUUUGAGCUCAGACUCCCUUUCAUGACUUACAGGCAAAUCUCAGCUCCUCUGAGCUAGAAAUCAUUCGAAGAUUCUGUGAAUAAUCACCAUCCCUCAACCAGCAUGUCUGAGGGUAUGGCACCCAGAGGAGGGGGGAUGUGUCCAGGCCAGCCCAGAACCAGGCGCCCUCCUGGGCCCUGAGCUCUGCAUCAACUUCCUUGGCUGUCAUUUCUCUGCCAGGAUCCCUCGGGCCCUGUCCGCAGGAGAUAGAGGUGGUCUGACCAGAGGCCAAGCGAUGCUGCAGCAGUCC
Molecule: long non-coding RNA, 725 nt
Filed under: Sus scrofa (pig)
Lineage: Eukaryota; Metazoa; Chordata; Mammalia; Artiodactyla; Suidae
Description: lncRNA (ENSSSCG00070008086.1)
Source: RNAcentral